UCAGCCGGCCGGGCGGCCGCUCCCGUCAUAGGUCGAAAGACGGCGGGGGAGGAAAGUCCGGGCUCCACGGAGAUACGGUGCCGGAUAACGUCCGGCGGGGGGAACCCCAGGGACAGUGCCACAGAGAACAGACCGCCUCGACCGUCGUCCGGCCGCCUCGCGCAGCCGGGGACCCGGCCGGGGUAAGGGUGAAACGGUGGGGUAAGAGCCCACCGCGCUUCUGGCAACAGCGGCGGCACGGCAAACCCCACCGGGAGCAAGACCGAAUAGGAACGACGCGGACCAGCGCCUCCGGGUGCCGGGCCAGCCCAUCUCCGGGCCGGUCGUUCGGGUGGGUUGCUCGAGCCGGUCCGCAAGGGCCGGCCCAGAGGAAUGGUCGCCGGGCGGCGCAUGCCGCUCACAGAACCCGGCUUACAGGCCGGCUGACACC
RNAcentral lists this RNase P RNA (430 nucleotides) under Aurantimonas sp. Leaf443. RNAcentral describes it as "Bacterial RNase P class A". It matches the Rfam family "Bacterial RNase P class A". Rfam says of the family: Ribonuclease P (RNase P) is a ubiquitous endoribonuclease, found in archaea, bacteria and eukarya as well as chloroplasts and mitochondria. The record is from Rfam by way of RNAcentral. Lineage: Bacteria; Pseudomonadati; Pseudomonadota; Alphaproteobacteria; Hyphomicrobiales; Aurantimonadaceae.